CCCAGGUGCACAGAGACACCAGUAAACAUGACAGGCAAAGUUCCUACUCUCACGGACCUUAUCUGCUAAUAGAAUAAACGGAUAUCAGCCAAGAAAGGCUGGAGAGGGAUUUGAGGUGAGUUGCCCAACUGGAAAAAAGCGCGAGGAGCCGACAUGGAGCAAAACAUCACUUUAUUGCAGUACAAGUGGGUGGGCCACCCUCAGGUG
Molecule: non-coding RNA, 207 nt
Organism: Vicugna pacos (alpaca)
Lineage: Eukaryota; Metazoa; Chordata; Mammalia; Artiodactyla; Camelidae
Source: RefSeq, a predicted model, not a curated record